UUUUUUUUGCAGAAAAGAUCACUGGGAAAAACUCGUGCCCUUCCCAUAGGAAAUUAACAGAUCUGAAUAUGGAUGCUACAGCUUUCACCCACUCCUUUUAUUUUCGAUUUUUCUUUACUCAGCAUAAUGCCAUCUUUUUGCUCCUAACAGCCUCAAUCAGCACUCUUGGCUGCGUCAAGGUCAGGACUGCCUGCUGUGACUGGCUUGAGAUUCAAUAACCAGCCAUAAGAGAGGUGCACAACAUGAAAUGGACACAGAUUGCUUUUUCUGUAACUCCAUUUAAUAAGCAUCUUUUCUAAACCAUGGAAAAAUAUCAUUUUUUAGGACCAAAAAGAAAUAGAAUUUACUCAUUAGUGUCUUCGACUCUAAACAACCAAUCAGAAUGAUAAUUAUUAUUAUUUCAAAACCAUCUCAGUGAUAAGCCUAAUUAAUUCUCCAGGCAAAUUCACUAACUGACAAAAGUUUUCUCAUUCAUGGGACAAUCCAAACCAACCUUUAAAACUUUAACAUGCUAAGAGACAUGCCAGUACUAUAUCUGCUUAACAGUACCCCCACAGUACACAAGAGUAUGGUUUUACUUAACUUCAUGUUUCCCAAAUAGACAUGAGUCAACCUGGCAGCUCAUGAAGCUUAAUAAUCAGACCUAUAGCAUUUUUAAAAUCAUUUUCACAUAAUACUUAUCAUUUUCCAUGCAUAUUUAGAAAUCAAGUUCUACCGAAUAAAGCAAAUACUAUUUAUCUGAUUUUCUUAUUAUAUAUCUGUGUUUUUAUUCUCCACAAAGCAGUAUUAUUAGUAUAUAAAAAUUAUCACUAGCAAUGAUCACCUCUCAUGAGAAGUAAAGUAUAACACAUUAUUACACAAAUAUUUUUAACUACAUAUUUUGGUUAUUGUACUUGUCAGUAUUGCAUCUGAUAAAGACAAAACAAAACCAUCAACAUUUUCCAAUUUAGAAAAUGAACACUGAUUAAUUUGCUGGCUGUUUUCUUGUAGACACUAGCUAGCCAGGGGUUACAUAACCACACAAACACACACCAUACACACAAUGAACCUGCUUCCAGGUUAUGUCCAUUGCUCUCAUUGAGAACUUGAAUCAACCAAUAACCUUCAAGUGCAAUGAUCAAAACAUCUGAAAGACAAUUCACCAAUUUUGAACUCAUGUUGUCCUCAACUACGUAUUUUGGCCGCUGUUGAACUUUGGCCUAUGUGUUUUCUUGGAAUUUCUAUAGUCAACCAAUAUUUACUGGGUUCCUGGCAUGUGUCAGGCCCUACUUUAGGAGCUUUUGAUUCAGCGUUGAAGAAACACAGUCAGGAAAGAAAGAUGUGUAAAAUUUUGACAAGGUCUAGGAGACAAUGAUGUGCUGUUUGCCAAAAGCACAGAGGGGGAGCACCGGCUGGUGCUCAGGGAGCUGCUCAAGACCCACGUGAGUAGUGUCCCAAUGGAGGGUUUUACUAAAGACAAUUGAUAUUCACAUCAGAUAUUUACAUACGAUUUGUAGCUUAAUUUUUCCCACUACCUAAUGAGGAUUUUAUUAGUCACUUUGACUAACUAAAAUGACAAGGUUGCCGCUGGCGUACAAACUUUGCCUAUUCUGCAUACACUUACAAAAGAAUAGAGAAUCUGCUAUGAAUUUACUUAGUCAGAACAUCAUAUUGGACAUCCACCUUCUCAGUUGUUUUUCUGGAGUGAGCGCUUUUGCCAACCACUGUUUGUUGUGUUACGUCCCAAAUCAAAUGGUUGCAGGAGUUAGAACUUCCACAUGGCCAUUGGGUACCUCAUCUCUCUCCUGUUCUGCCUACUAUUGUGUAUGAAAACUAGCACAUGCACCAAAGUACC
Long non-coding RNA from Macaca fascicularis (crab-eating macaque), 1834 nucleotides. NCBI's taxonomy places the organism in Eukaryota, Metazoa, Chordata, Mammalia, Primates, Cercopithecidae. The record is from Ensembl.